RNAcentral lists this ribosomal RNA (467 nucleotides) under uncultured bacterium. Its description in RNAcentral is "bacterial SSU rRNA". It matches the Rfam family "Bacterial small subunit ribosomal RNA", at positions 338 to 795 of the family's 1533-position model. The record is from RNAcentral.
CCUACGGGGGGCAGCAGUGGGGAAUAGUCUACAAUGGACGAAAGUCUGAUAGUGCGACGCCGCGUGAACGAGGAAGCCCUUCGGGGUGUAAAGUUCUUUUAUAUGUGAGCAAUGCUUUAUAUGUGAAUAGCAUAUAGGGAGAGAUAUUAGCAUAUGAAUAAGCAACGGCUAACUCCGUGCCAGCAGCCGCGGUAACACGGGGGUUGCAAGCGUUGUCCGGAAUUACUAGGCGUAAAGGGCAGGUAGGCGGAUACAUAAGUUUGAUGUUAAAGGCAGCGGCUCACCCGCUGUACGGCAUUAGAUACUGUGUAUCUGGAAUGCGGUUGGGGAAGACAGAAUUCCUGGUGUAGCGGUGGAAUGCGCAGAGAUCAGGAGGAAUACCAAAGGCGAAGGCAGUCUUCUAAGCCGUAAUUGACGCUAAACUGCGAAGGUGUGGGUAUCAAACAGGCUUAGAUACCCUGGUAGUC